Molecule: long non-coding RNA, 448 nt
Organism: Panthera uncia (snow leopard)
Lineage: Eukaryota; Metazoa; Chordata; Mammalia; Carnivora; Felidae
Exons: 2
Source: RefSeq, a predicted model, not a curated record
GGGUUGGGGCUGAAUCCAAUGACUGAUAUCUUUAUAAGAGAAAGAAGAGGAAGAUUCAGAUAUGGAAACACAGAAAAGAAGGCCAUGUGACAACAGAGACAGAGAUUCAAUGAUACAGCCAUAAGCCAAGGAGCCCCAAGAAUUGCUGGGGACCACCAGAAGCUAGGAUCAGUCAAAGACGGAUUCCUCUCUAGAACCUUCAGAGGUAGACAGGCCCUCUUGGACUUCUAGCUUACAAAAUGGGAAAUUCUUCUGGCAGCAGUAUGGAGGAGAGCCUAGAGUGGGGGGCAUGACCAAUAGCAUAGUGAUGUAUCAACAAUCCAAGAAAAACAGGACGGGACUAAAAUGAGGAAAUGGCAGUGACAGGCAACUGAAUCAGGCAUUUUUUGAAGAAAAACUGACAGGAUGUGGUGGCUGACUGAAUAUGGAGGGAAGGAGAAUAGUAGAG